UACGGGGGGAGCAAGCGUUGUUCGGAUUUACUGGGCGUAAAGAGCUCGUAGGCGGCUCAGUAAGUCAGAUGUGAAAACUCAGGGCUCAACCCGGAGACGCCAUCUGAUACUGCUGUGGCUUGAGUCUGGUAGGGGAUCACGGAAUUCCUGGUGUAGCGGUGAAAUGCGCAGAUAUCAGGAGGAACACCGAUGGCGAAGGCAGUGAUCUGGGCCAGUACUGACGCUGAGGAGCGAAAGCGUGGGUAGCAAACAGG
Molecule: ribosomal RNA, 254 nt
Filed under: uncultured bacterium
Lineage: Bacteria
Description: partial 16S ribosomal RNA
Rfam family: Bacterial small subunit ribosomal RNA
Source: RNAcentral